Molecule: long non-coding RNA, 992 nt
Organism: Camelus dromedarius (Arabian camel)
Lineage: Eukaryota; Metazoa; Chordata; Mammalia; Artiodactyla; Camelidae
Exons: 4
Source: RefSeq, a predicted model, not a curated record
GUGGUGGAGAAGAGGAUCGAGGACUUCACUGAGUCACUCUUCAUCUUGCUCAAGUCCAAGUGGCUGGAUGGGACCCCAACAAGUCUGGGGAAAGGAUCCCCCUCCUCUGCACCUUGUUUGAGAAGGAGGACUUCAUGGGACUGGACACAGACAGCAGAUCGUUUUGGUUACUGAGACCCUCGAAUUCCCAUAUGAAUUAUAACAGCAGCUAAUCAGUUUUUGCAGAGGAGCCCACUGGGAUUGUGAUCGAGACCACGUAGAAUAUACGGAUCACUCUGGGGAGCACUGCCAUUCCAAGAGCACUGUCUUCUGAUCCAGGAAUGUACGUGGCGUGUCUGUCCAGGUGCCCUCACAUCCAGUGGCAUCCAUCCAGACACCAACACUGACACUGGCCAUGCUCAGAACUACCUCAGCCCUGAAGACACAAGUGACAAAUAGAAGGGGGCCGCGCCCUGUUACAGCAGGUGCUCUCACUUUGUGGGUCCUUAUGUAAAUGCGCGGUGUUAAUCAGGAUCGCCCGUUCUACAUUGUGUGGCGCUGCUGCGGUGUCUCCUAGUUAUUUGUUUCUGAGAAUUACGGCCUGCUGCUAGAGUGUUUGAUCAGGAUAAAUGAUUUGUUUCUAUAAGAUGCCACGUACAGUCACAAGCUCAGUGAGAAAUGGGCUGUCACCUCUUCAUCUGCAACUCAGUGCUCGACAGGACAUCGGGGCAAAGCCAGUCCGUAAUUUGUUUGUGAUGCAAGUAGGAACAAAAUUAAUGUCUUGCCUUUCCCUUGCAGUAUUCUUACUCCUUUGCUUCAUUUACUUCUUUCCUCCUUUCCUUUCCCCUCCUCCACCAAAAGAUCCUGAGACUCUCUCAGAACACUAGAUUCAAAUUACUUUAAAGGGUGUCUCAUCCUCAUGAAAUGACAGUAACUUAAAAAAAAUCUGUACAGAUCACAGACGUCAUUGUAUUUGAUUUACACACACACACGCACACCCACCCACACACACA